UAUUGGAUAUGCAGAGACAUGGU
This 23-nucleotide non-coding RNA is filed under the name Arabidopsis thaliana (thale cress). Lineage: Eukaryota; Viridiplantae; Streptophyta; Magnoliopsida; Brassicales; Brassicaceae. The record is from RNAcentral.